GCUGGGCCCGGUGGAGCACGCCUGUAAUCCCAGCAGCUUGGGAGGCUGAGGCAGGAGGAUCACAAGUUCAAAACCAGCCUCGGCAACAGCCAGGCGCCGAGCAACUCCGUGAGAUCCUGUCUCUA
This 125-nucleotide small RNA is filed under the name Marmota monax (woodchuck). Lineage: Eukaryota; Metazoa; Chordata; Mammalia; Rodentia; Sciuridae. The record is from RNAcentral.